AGCCUCGUAGCUCUACUGGUAGAGUGUGCGCUCUGUGAAACAACCUAGGCGGCACCCAUGCGUGGGUUCGAAUCCCAUCGAGGUCA
Molecule: transfer RNA, 86 nt
Filed under: Echinostoma caproni
Lineage: Eukaryota; Metazoa; Platyhelminthes; Trematoda; Plagiorchiida; Echinostomatidae
Rfam family: tRNA
About the family: Transfer RNA (tRNA) molecules are approximately 80 nucleotides in length. Their secondary structure includes four short double-helical elements and three loops (D, anti-codon, and T loops).
Source: Rfam by way of RNAcentral